RNAcentral lists this long non-coding RNA (524 nucleotides) under Rattus norvegicus (Norway rat). RNAcentral's name for it is "long non-coding RNA NONRATT014848". The record is from RNAcentral. Lineage: Eukaryota; Metazoa; Chordata; Mammalia; Rodentia; Muridae.
AGAUCAGUCUGGAGAACUACGACCCUCAGAAGGACAAACCCUUCUCGGGCACUGUCAGGCUUAAGUCCAACCCUCGCCCCAAGUCCUCGGUGUACAUCCUGGGGGACCAGCAGCGCUGUGACGAAGCCAAAGCUGUGGAUAUCCCCCACAUGGACAUCGAGGCGCUCAAGAAGCUUAAGAAGAACAAGAAGUUGGUCAAAAAGCUAGCCCAGAGUCUCUGAUCAAGCAGAUCCCAGGUAUCCUGGGCCCGGGCCUAAACAAGGCUGAUAAGUUGCCCUCCCUGCUGACACACAAUGAAAACAUGGUGGCCAAAGUGGAUGAGGUGAAAUCCACAAUCAAGUCCCGAUGAAGAAGGUACUGUGUCUGGCUGUUGCCGUCGGCCACGUGAAGAUGGCCGAUGAUGAGCCGGUCUACAACAUCCACCUGGCUGUCAAUUUCUUACUGCCCUUGCUCAAGAAAAACUGGCAGAACGUCUGGGCUUUGUACCUCAAGAACACCAUGGGCAAGCCUCAGCGUCUGUAUUA